Molecule: transfer RNA, 83 nt
Filed under: Planctomycetia bacterium
Lineage: Bacteria; Pseudomonadati; Planctomycetota; Planctomycetia
Description: tRNA-Leu
Rfam family: tRNA
About the family: Transfer RNA (tRNA) molecules are approximately 80 nucleotides in length. Their secondary structure includes four short double-helical elements and three loops (D, anti-codon, and T loops).
Source: RNAcentral
GCCGGAGUGGUGGAAUGGCAGACACGAUGGACUCAAAAUCCAUUGUUCGCAAGAACAUGUGGGUUCGACUCCCACCUCCGGUA